AUGGCCGCCGCCGCCGCCGCCGCCGCGAGGUCGCGCGCCGCCACCGCCGCCGCGUGGGCUCGCCUGCUCUCCCACCGCCGCGUCGCCGCCGCAGCCGCGUCCGGAUCGCUGCCCCACCUGGCAGGCCCGCGGAUCGCGCCCCAGCGCCGCCACUUCGCCUUCUCCUCCGCCUCCCCCGGCGCCGGCGGCGGGGCGAGGGACAGUGAGCCGCUGUUCACCGAGCAGACCGUCUACGACCUGCUGGCCCAGCUGGAGCGGGAGCGGCAGAAGGAACGCGAGGAUCGGCGCAAGGCCGGGGCCGGCGGCGGCGGCGAGGGGAAGGGGGACGAGGAGGAGGAGGAGGAGGAGGAGGACUUCCUGGGCGUGAAGCCGCUGAUCGAGAAGUUGGAGCGGCGGAACGCCAAGGAGGCCAACCUCCCCGACGAGUCCUUCCUGGAGCCCAGCGACUCCGAGUCCGACGAGGACGACGAGCGCUUCUCCUCCGACUCCAUCCGCCGCCGCGUCGACGAGUUCGACCGCAAGUGCAAGCGCCAGUCCGAGCUCCUCCGCUCCUUUGCCGAGGCCGAGACCCUUGAUGACGCUCACAAGAUCAUGACGAAGAUCGACAAGUUCGAGCAGCGCCAUCUGAGCCUGCCGCUGGAGUACAGGGUCAUCGGGGACAUGAUGAACCGCCUCAAGGACUCCACGGGGAAAGAGCGCUUCAUCCUCCUGCAGAAGCUGAACCGGGCCGUCAGGCUCAUGGAGUGCAAGGAGGCGUACGACCCCAGCAACCCCGCAAACUUCGGGCUUAUCCAGCACCAGCAGGUCGACUCUCCGGACGAUGUGAUUGAUAACACUGGCUUCGACAAGGAGAAGCAGAUGAUCCAAGGAGAGAGCCUCGAGGACGAGGAUGAGGAGUUCAAUGAAGCCAAGGAGAAGGAUGAUAUGCUCAUCGAGAAACUAAAUGCUAUUGAGAAGAAGAUCGAGGAGAAGUUGGCGGACCUGGAUCAUACGUUUGGUAAGAAGGGCAGGGUUUUGGAAGAGGAAAUAAAGGAUCUGGUGGAGGAGAGGAACUCCCUCACGGACAAAAAGAGGAGGCCUAUGUACAGAAAAGGUUUUGAUGUGAAGGUCAUUGAUGUUAACCGGACAUGCAAAGUUACAAAGGGAGGCCAAAUAGCAAAAUACACAGCAUUGUUGGCAACUGGAAACUACCAUGGUGUUGUAGGUUUUGCAAAAGCUAAAGGUCCAACAGCAAAGAUUGCAAUACAGAGGGCCUAUGAGAAAUGCUUCCAGAACCUACAUUACAUGGAGCGGUACGAGGAGCACACAAUUGCUCAUGCGAUUCAGGCCAAAUACGAGAAAACAAAGAUCUACCUCUGGCCCGGACCAAUGAGGAGCGGGAUGUGCGCCGCUGGCAGGACUGUCGAAACUGUGAUGUAUCUAGCCGGGUUUAGCAACGUCAAGUCAAAGAUUAUCGGAUCGAGGAGCCCGCUCAACGUUAUCAAGGCUCUCUUCAUAGCACUAAAUGCCAUUGAAACGCCCAAGGAUGUGGAGCAGAAGUUUGGACGGACUGUUGUGGAGUCGUACUUGUUGUAG
RNAcentral lists this ribosomal RNA (1575 nucleotides) under Triticum aestivum (bread wheat). RNAcentral describes it as "partial small subunit ribosomal RNA". The record is from RNAcentral. Lineage: Eukaryota; Viridiplantae; Streptophyta; Magnoliopsida; Poales; Poaceae.